GAUGUACGCUGGCGGCGUGCCUAAUACAUGCAAGUCGAGCGAACAGACGAGGAGCUUGCUCCACUGACGUUAGCGGCGGACGGGUGAGUAACACGUGGAUAACCUACCUAUAAGACUGGGAUAACUUCGGGAAACCGGAGCUAAUACCGGAUAAUAUAUUGAACCGCAUGGUUCAAUAGUGAAAGACGGUUUUGCUGUAACUUAUAGAUGGAUCCGCGCCGCAUUAGCUAGUUGGUAAGGUAACGGCUUACCAAGGCAACGAUGCGUAGCCGACCUGAGAGGGUGAUCGGCCACACUGGAACUGAGACGCGGUCCAGACUCCUACGGGAGGCAGCAGUAGGGAAGCUUCCGCAAUGGGCGAAAGCCUGACGGAGCAACGCCGCGUGAGUGAUGAAGGUCUUCGGAUCGUAAAACUCUGUUAUUAGGGAAGAACAAAUGUGUAAGUAACUAUGCACGUCUUGACGGUACCUAAUCAGAAAGCCACGGCUAACUACGUG
RNAcentral lists this ribosomal RNA (497 nucleotides) under uncultured bacterium. Its description in RNAcentral is "partial 16S ribosomal RNA". It matches the Rfam family "Bacterial small subunit ribosomal RNA", at positions 28 to 507 of the family's 1533-position model. The record is from RNAcentral.